This 345-nucleotide ribosomal RNA is filed under the name uncultured Treponema sp. RNAcentral describes it as "bacterial SSU rRNA". It matches the Rfam family "Bacterial small subunit ribosomal RNA", at positions 355 to 690 of the family's 1533-position model. The record is from RNAcentral. Lineage: Bacteria; Pseudomonadati; Spirochaetota; Spirochaetia; Treponematales; Treponemataceae.
UGGGGGAUAUUGCACAAUGGAGGAAACUCUGACGGAGCGACGCCGCGUGGAUGAUGAAGGUCGGAAGAUUGUAAAAAUCCUUUUAUGACUGAGGAAUAAGCCGGGUGAGAGAAACGCCUGGUGGUGACUGUAGGUCAUGAAUAAGCAACGGCUAAUUACGUGCCAGCAGCCGCGGUAACACGUAAGUUGCGAGCGUUGUUCGGAAUUAUUGGGCGUAAAGGGCAUGUAGGCGGUAUUGCAAGCCUGGUGUGAAAGGCAGGGGCUCAACCUCUGGACUGCGCUGGGAACUGCGAUACUAGAGUCGCUGAGGGGCAAUCAGAAUUCCAGGUGUAGGGGUGAAAUCUG